CAAUUUGACCUUAAAACCACUGUUUGUACCUUGAAUGAAAAAUGUAACAGCACAGGAACUUUAGAUCUAAAAAAAAAUAUAGUGCAGCUGCUGUCGUCUCUCCUGUAAUGUGAACUUUGGUUAUAAAUGAUUUACUUAUGGUCACUUGCAAAUCUUCUAUGAAAAUAAGUCCUUCCACUGUUUGACAAACAACCAAAAAUGGCACUGGUCCAUUAUUUGCUCCCUUUUUUCCCCGAAAUGGCACUGAUGUUAAAAACAGCUCUGAGAUGAUGUAGCAUUGACUACCAAAUACUGGACUGUCCCCUUCAAUCAGCCUCUUUCCUGCACUGAAUAAUUGUUUAAAUUUGGCUACAUUGGAAGGUUUUCGAGCAUGAACUGCCCUGUUAUGGUCUUGCCACCGAAUCUCAACUGGAUUCAAGUCAGGUUUUUGAUCCAACCACUCCAAAACCUUUAUUCUGUUUCUUUCUAGCCAUUCAGAGAUGCACUUGCGUGUGUGCUUCAGAUCAUUGUCCAACUGCAUAACCCAACCAUGCUUCAGUCUUAGGUCAAGAACUGACGGGUGGACAUUCUCUUUCAGGAUUUUCUGACAGAGAGCAGAAUUCAUAGUUCCAUCAAUUAUGACAAGUCGUCCAGGUCCUGAGGAAGCAAAGAAGCCCCACACCAUCACACUACCACCAACAUGUUUGACUGUCAAAAUGAUGUUUCAAUGGUGGAAUGCACUGUUAGCUUUACACCAGAUGUAACAGGACCCAUGUCUUCCACAAAGCUCCACAUUUGACUCAUCAGUCCACAGAAUAUUAACCCAAAAGUCUUGGGGUCAUCUAGAUGUUUUUUGGGAAGUGCAACAUGAACAUUUGUAUUCUUUUUGGUUAGCAGUAGUUUGCGUCUUGCAACUCUCCAAUGGAUGCCAUUCUUGCCCAGUGCCUUUCUUAUUGUGGAAAUGUGUACAUUGACCUUAACUGAGACAAGUGAGGCCUGCAAUUCUUUAGAUGGUUGUCUGGGUUCUUUUGUGAUCUCCUAGAUGAGUUGCCAAUGCGCUCUUAGUGAAAUUUUGGUAGGCUGGGCACUUCUGGGAAGGUUCAUCUUGCAUCUCCUAAGAACAUGGCAUCAUGUGCUGCUUUUUGAGACCUUCUACCCUGCUUCACAUUGCCAGACAGGUUCUAUUUAAGCGAUGUUUAGAUUCAACAGGACACCCAGUAAUCAUGCCUGGGUGUGGCUAGUGAAACUGAACACAACAGUCAACUCAAUUUGGUUAACUGGUCGAUGUAGUAUCUAAGGGUGCAACUACUUUUUCACAUAAAGCCACGUAGGGCUGAAUAACAUUUUUCUUUCAAUAAAUGAAAUACUGUAUUUUGUGUUUACUUGGGUUAUCUUUAACUAAUAUUAAAAGUAGUCUGAUGAUCUGAAACAUUCAAAUGUGACAAACAUGCAAAAAGAGAAGAAAUUGGGAAGGGGGCAAAUACUUUUUCACAGCACUGUAGGUGUUUGGAGAAGACCUCCCCAAGACCCAGGGUGAUUAUAGAGGUAAAGCCUGUCAAUAUCGCUUUAAAUAUAUCAGGAUGGCUCCUCAGUGGAUAGAGAGUAGGUCUAAAUGAAGGAGAGAGUCACAGUUGAAGAGACAGACAGUUUCCCUCUCUCCACUCAUUUCAGGGAAGACUCUUAUCAGUGUGACGAGUGAGAGAGCACAGAGUGCUGGAAAUGUAAUUAAUCAGAUUGCUCCCACACCUGAACAAGUCCUCACCCACCUGAUUCAAGCGCUGCUGAUAUUCAGCACAGGCAGAGAGAGACGUGGGGCAACAUACUGCAUGUAAUGCAGGAAACAAACCGCUACUAAAGACCAGAACAAGCACAGUGAAACCUCAGUCACAGUAACAAGCUACACUUAGGUAUAAGGUUUCUAAAUUAUUGCAAUAUAACAUUGUUGCAUUGCCUAUAGAAAUAAAAUGCUGUCAUUUUUAUUAACAUGGCCACAUUCACUGCUGUUUCCCUAAAAUGUAAUAUUUUCCUUUAAAAUCAAAACGUUAAAUCAAAAUACUAUUAUGUCUUUUAUCCCCACCACUUCCGUCACACUUCAUAGUUGUAGAAGGCAAAAUCUCUGAACUCAUGCAGGUGUGACAAUCAUAUUAACACAGGGUUUCAGGUGUGACUGGGGAAAUAUCAGGGCUUCAUGAGAUUCAACUCAAUUUAUUUUUUGGUUUAUGCAAACCUACUCCCAGCUAUCAUGAGUUCCAUAAUAAUUAAGGAUGCACCGAUAUGGGAAUUCUGGGUUAAUGCUGAUACUCAGUAUUUUUUCACAUCCAUAUCUAUUUAUGUCAAUGCUGAUGUAUAUAUAUAUGCACAUUUAUAAAAUAACUAAACUGGAACUAUGUCUACCUGGAUUAGUAUUACCGAGAACUAUUACAUGUAUUUGUACAAAGUUAUAAAUGCAGUAAAAUGAAUAAACUGCAGACAUUUUAGAACAGUAGCUCAGCAUCACCUACAUGUUCUGCUCAUCCAGUGUACAAUACACACAAUCAUAGAUUGUUAAACAUUAAAUUCUUUAAACAAUAAUGUGAUGGAUGUUUAUUUGCGUUGGUAACACUACAGUGUGCACUCUUAAAUAACUACACAUAAGUGUUAGGAUAAUCUUUGUUUAUGUUAUGUAUUUCUGAAUAAUAAUAAAAAAAAAAGAAUAUCAGCCAAUCUAUCAGAUUUUUAAAUCCUCAAAUACCGAAAUCAGUAUCAGUCUUAAAAAUCGUCUAUUGGUCAGGCUCAAUACCACUAACAACAUUCACAUUCUCUAAAAAUUCAGUAGUUUAGUACUUUACCUCUAACGUUAUGUGAUAAAACAAUGCACUGCUAUAAACAAAGUAAUGGCUUUGCCUAAAUAGAGAAGAAAACAUUUUCUACAAAUUGUACCAGUGUAACCUAAAAUGGAGCAAAACCAAUCCGUGGAGUUACUUUCACAACAAAAUAAACUGUAUAAAGUCUUAACUUGGAGACACGAAAACAUUUCACGUGAAAGUUUAACUCGAAGCUACACUAGGUAAGAUCCAUAGAUUUCGAGACCUCUCUUGUAGAAAUGUGUAAUUGCACACAACAUAUGGAGGUACAUUUUAUAAUGUAGGUUGCGCUUCAGACCCCCAUCCCCGAGCGGGUGAAUCUGAUGACUGUGAGCGUGUUUAAAGUGUAUUCAAAGAGAACUCAGUCAAAACUGGGUGAAAAAUGUGUCUUCUGAUAAUGUGAGAGAAUGAUCUACUAGUGUCAUCAGAUUUUUUUAUCAGUAUAAUGUUGAUUGUGCAUUUGAGACCCAAACAUCAAGCCAGAUCUUCUUUGCGAGUCUGACGUGGUCCAAAAACUCCUGUGAAAUCCGACCUGACACUCGACUUUUAAACUCUUAUUUCAGGACUGACAGGGCGCCUCGCAGCAGGACACACACGACAUUUUUUUUUAUCUCCUAACACUACUUUUUAAAUUUUAAACAAAAAAAAAUCUUAUAGUGCUUUAAAUCAAACCCUGAUUUGUAAAUCUUCUCCUACAUUUUUUGUUUGUUCAUGACGUCACCCAAAGAGAAACAUUUAAAAACAUUUACACUAAAAUUUCCCAUUUUUAAGUAUUUGUUUAACUUUUGCUGCAUGGGUCGACUCCCAGAAGAGAAAGUUUAUUAGUUUAGUUGCAUCAUGCCUCAGGCCAAAAAGCAGACUGUUCGGUCAACAUCCUCUGUUUAUCUGAGUUUAGUGCUUGUCAAAAAAGCCAUAAUGAGGACAGAGGUUAUGAUGAAUGAUGGCUUAUGCUGACAGAUCUCACCCACCAGCUCCCUCAAUAAUGAAGAAUUGAUAAGAAGAGACACUAACAGCUUAAAAGUGAAUACUUUAUCAGUAUAGCCUGUUUACAAGGCACUUUAUGUUUUCAAAGCAGGAGAUAAAGAAAACAUCACAAAUAAUUUUAUAUAAUACGUUUUUUUAGCUAGAAUAAGCAUAGCUUAAAUGUAAAUGAAACAGUAUUACCAUACACAAUUUGUUUUUGGUAAUUUCUCCCUUUAUUCGUAGGUUGUUUUGGGUCUCUCCCCUAUCACAGAACAGCACUGCCAGCUGGAAGAGCAAUAACUCGUAUAUAAUUUUCUACGACAUGCACAACAGCAGCCUCCCACCACACUUUAGCCUGCUACCAUACUUUAGCCUGUUACCGCAUAGCAUUGAAACAGCUCAAGCUCCCAUAAUGAGUACACGUCCUAGCGGACAAAGAGAUAUGUUUACAUUUGAAGAAGGAAUUAGAAAACAUGACAACCUUCUUACUAAACUGAACAGCCCUUGUCAGACAUCACUGGGGAAUUUGACGUGAAACAGAGCUCACCUACACAUUGCAAUGCAUUAGUGGAAUUACAGGAAUGGGAAUUUACCUGCUGACUGACACUUCACUCAGGGUGGGACUUGGUGACCUUGAUGUAAUUUCUAUAACUGAAGUCUUCUCAUGAUUGGCCACUUCCAGCACUGUGGAAACUGGUGUCUGGGCAGAGCUCUGGACUGUUGCACCUGUAUAAAAAAAGUAAUUAAUUAAACAUAGAACAAUAUAUAUUGUUUUUCCUUAAAUUGGUGACAAAUUCAUAAGAAACGUGUAGAAUUUCAAUUUCACCUCACAGGCCUUUGCAUGAAUAAGCAGACAUCCUGUUCUAUGUUUUACCUACCUCUGGGUGUGUGUUUUGUAUGUGUGUGGGUGCGUAAGCUUUUCAUUUUUCAGUGGCAGAAAAAAUGUAGGAGGAAUAUAUUCAACAGAAAAUUACACAGAAGCCUCGACAAUUAAACAUAAUAUCAGAUCUGCCAGUAUUUAAUUUGUCCACUCUUUACUUUUGUGCACCAUACUUCUAUCCUUCCAAUCUAACCUGCAUAAGAAAGAGGAAAGUCAAAGUUUUAAAAAAAGGAGGUUUCAGAACUAGAAUUUAAAAGACAUACAGAAAAUGGGACUUUGCAAGACCUGGCUGACCAUCAAAACUGACGCCAUCAGAUACACAGUACUUAAAGCUUUCAUCUUUGAGAGAGAGGAGAAAAUCAGCUUCCACUCUUGCUUUAGAUCUGAAAACAUCCACAGGUGUUUCUGUCCAUCCUUCCACUGUGAGAAGACAACUCAGCGCUAUGGGUUUUAAAGCAUGUGUCAAGAAGCUGUUACUGAGAGAAAGAAAUAAACAAAAUUAAAAAAAAAGAAGAAAAUUCGCACUGAAACAUCAAAACCAGACAUCUGAGUUGUGGAUUGAGGUUUCAUAGAGUGACAGUUCUAAAUUUGUAAUUGGGAUUACUUGGAUCAUAAGAAGCAGAGUGUGUGACCAUCUUGAAAGACUGUCUUCUCAAGGUGUGGAAAAAUAUCCAUUUUUUAAAACUGAAGAAUAGAAGCUGUCAUAAAGGUAAAGGGUGGACACACUAAAUACUGAAAAUACUGAUCUUAUAUUUAGUUCUUGUAGCUUCUGUGUAAUUUUCUGUUCCUAAUGUUUAUUUUUUCUCCUGAUGCUGCAAAAUGAACAACUUGUACUUAAUGACUGUUUUGAGGGGUAAGUAAAUAAAUGAAAGGGUGUCUCUGAACUACAGUUCUCCACUUCAUGAUUAUUAACGUCUUCAAACAUAACCCCACACUUUAUGAUGAUUAACUUAAGACUAUUGGUUUUAAAGGAAGUGCAAAGAAAUGCAAGAAAAUUAAUAUGAAUUUACUGCUCAUGAUUAAUGUUUCGGAUUAAUCGGAUUACUUAAAGGAGGUUUACAGCCUAAGCAGCUGUCUGAAACUGAUAGAAUAUAUAACAAUCUGAGAUUGCAAAUAUUAACUUUCUGUUAACCUAAAUAUAUCAUUGUGGAGUAAAGAUGCUUAUGGAAAGAAAUUCUACUUGAUUUGCCACAUCUGAAUAUAAGCCUAGUGUUUAUGCCUUGAUCUACUGGGUGUCUCAACGGUGGCAUGAAGAACCCAGGAGAAGCAAUUUCCUCCCACUUACAGGGAGCUCUUAAUUAUACUUAGCACCUGCUUCAAAUUUCUGAGUUUAACUGCACCCACUUCAGUGAUACAAGUAAGGCUGCAUGAUAAACCAGUGAAUUAGAAGCUCAACAUAAACAAAAUUACAUGGCACCGUUUCAGUAAAGAACUCACCCUUGUUGACCUAAUGCAUGGCAUUCGAUUUUAUUCAUUUGACUGCUGGACAAACACGCACAUGCGCUUCGAGACCACACAAACCUUACACUGUCUUUUCAGGGUGUUUGACUUGAUCAGUUCUGCUGUCCUGUAGUGCUUUGUCAACUGUCAGUUGUGACCACAGGGCCACUGUCAGCAGAAUAUUUUAGGCUCUAAAACUGUUGUGGAUUAGUUUAAUAUACAGGAUGACUUUGUUUUUAACACAGUCUUUAGGCAUCAUUUUGCAAUUAGGGAUGUCCUGAUUCUUUUUUUGGCCCAGAUCUGAUAUAAGUCCUUCAAUAUAGAGUAUCAGUCUGUUCUGAUAUUUGUGUUUGUUUAGGUAAGAUUAUGCUACUCUGCUAAUUAAACCUUCAGUAAAAUCAGUUCAUUUUUAGUGUGAGAAUAACAUGGAAUUCUAGACUGAUAUGUUGUUUUUUAACCUACUUUUUCAAAAUUUCCUUUUAGUAGUGUGUAAUAUUGGCUUAUAAUCACAUUUGAUUGACUACCAGUUACUGCAGUGAAAUACAUUUUUCAGUGAAGCAACUUCAUUUUUGAUGUGUAUAGCAGUAUAUACUCAGUUUUACUGCUUUAUUUUUAUUGGACUACUUAUGUGAAACAACCAUCUAAUAGGGUGGUGAAUAUGCUUAGAUUUAAAAUUGCAACAUGCCAUCUUUAGGUGCUCAUUUCUCUUACCUUUAAACACACUAUUACUGAUAGCAUCAGAUUCACAUGGGACCAGGAUUACUUUAGCCUCUACCUGAUCCAUUAAAUUAAGAUAAGGACCGACAUCCUUGAAUUCAAAACACCUAAUAGUAAAAAAUAAGACAAUUUUAGACAUUUUAUGACCUUAAAUCUUCAAUAUAUUUUUUUAAGACUUCAUAGGACUUGUAUUAUAACCCCUUUCACAACACUGCAUUUCUGUUUUUUAUUUACAUUUUACACAGCGCUCAACUUUUUUGGAAAUGAGAUUGUUCAUCAGAAGAUGCAAUGUGAUGUCAACAGCUUUACUGAACAUUCUCAUUGAAAGUGCUCAAAUAAACCACCUGAAAUCACUUCAUAUCUUCGGGCAUGCUGGCUCCAAGACCCUCUGGUGAUUUGACAUGAAUUGCUUUGUGCCUUGACUGUGACUUCACUGAAUGGUAACGAAGUCCAUGCAGCUAACAAAUAACCAUUCCAAGCAGACACACAAACACAGCCACCAUAAGCACUAGUGCCUAUUUCUGCACUGGAAAUUGCUUAUUGACUUGAAUCCACCUGGACCAGCAAAAAGCUUUUCUAGGUCCCCUUAUUUUGGAGCGAAGCCCUAUCUCUGAUGGAGAUAAUGGAGUUGUUGUUACCUCCUGAACAUGAUGCCUCCACUAACUUCCCUGCUUCUUGCUUUAUCUGGGUCCUUCUAGACGUCUCCAAACGACCUCUGACCUGGGCGAUGAGACGGGAAAACUCACUGCUGUGUUGUUUUCCUACCAAAGUAAGAAACAAAUGAGGAAAUGGAGAUCACAUUUGAGUGAUGCGAAUACAGUCAAAGCAAUAUAUUUAGAUCAAGAAUUAAACAACGCUCAGUAACUCUAACUGAUUUAGGGUCUAUACACCAAUAAUUUGACAAAAACAUUUAAAUCGACCUGCCACUCAAGAUCAGGAAAUAAAGACCACAUUUGUAUAGAACACAUGAAAGCAAUAUGAUCAGUUCAGGGCAGAGAGAGGAGGGGGAAAAAAAAAAAA
Molecule: long non-coding RNA, 7842 nt
Organism: Colossoma macropomum (tambaqui)
Lineage: Eukaryota; Metazoa; Chordata; Actinopteri; Characiformes; Serrasalmidae
Exons: 2
Source: RefSeq, a predicted model, not a curated record